RNAcentral lists this ribosomal RNA (375 nucleotides) under uncultured organism. RNAcentral's name for it is "partial 16S ribosomal RNA". It matches the Rfam family "Bacterial small subunit ribosomal RNA", at positions 527 to 896 of the family's 1533-position model. The record is from RNAcentral.
GUAGGUGGCAAGCGUUGUCCGGAAUUAUUGGGCGUAAAGCGCGCGCAGGCGGUCCUUUAAGUCUGAUGUGAAAGCCCACGGCUCAACCGUGGAGGGUCAUUGGAAACUGGGGGACUUGAGUACAGAAGAGGAAAGCGGAAUUCCAAGUGUAGCGGUGAAAUGCGUAGAGAUUUGGAGGAACACCAGUGGCGAAGGCGGCUUUCUGGUCUGUAACUGACGCUGAGGCGCGAAAGCGUGGGGAGCGAACAGGAUUAGAUACCCUGGUAGUCCACGCCGUAAACGAUGAGUGCUAAGUGUUAGGGGGUUUCCCGCCCCCCUUAGUGCUGCAGCUAACGCAUUAAGCACUCCGCCUGGGGAGUACGGCCCGCAAGGCUG